AUUGAACGCUGGCGGCAGGCCUAACACAUGCAAGUCGAGCGGAUGAAGGGAGCUUGCUCCUGGAUUCAGCGGCGGACGGGUGAGUAAUGCCUAGGAAUCUGCCUGGUAGUGGGGGAUAACGUCCGGAAACGGGCGCUAAUACCGCAUACGUCCUGAGGGAGAAAGUGGGGGAUCUUCGGACCUCACGCUAUCAGAUGAGCCUAGGUCGGAUUAGCUAGUUGGUGGGGUAAAGGCCUACCAAGGCGACGAUCCGUAACUGGUCUGAGAGGAUGAUCAGCCACACUGGAACUGAGACACGGUCCAGACUCCUACGGGAGGCAGCAGUGGGGAAUAUUGGACAAUGGGCGAAAGCCUGAUCCAGCCAUGCCGCGUGUGUGAAGAAGGUCUUCGGAUUGUAAAGCACUUUAAGUUGGGAGGAAGGGCAGUAAGUUAAUACCUUGCUGUUUUGACGUUACCAACAGAAUAAGCACCGGCUAACCUCGUG
RNAcentral lists this ribosomal RNA (484 nucleotides) under uncultured bacterium. RNAcentral's name for it is "partial 16S ribosomal RNA". It matches the Rfam family "Bacterial small subunit ribosomal RNA", at positions 30 to 507 of the family's 1533-position model. The record is from RNAcentral.